Molecule: ribosomal RNA, 496 nt
Filed under: uncultured bacterium
Lineage: Bacteria
Description: partial 16S ribosomal RNA
Rfam family: Bacterial small subunit ribosomal RNA
Source: RNAcentral
AUGCACGCUGGCGGCGUGCCUCAUACCUGCAAGUCGAGCGAACGGACGAGAAGCUUGCUUCUCUGAUGUUAGCGGCGGACGGGUGAGUAACACGUGGAUAACCUACCUAUAAGACUGGGAUAACUUCGGGAAACCGGAGCUAAUACCGGAUAAUAUUUUGAACCGCAUGGUUCAAAAGUGAAAGACGGUCUUGCUGUCACUUAUAGAUGGAUCCGCGCUGCAUUAGCUAGUUGGUAAGGUAACGGCUUACCAAGGCAACGAUGCAUAGCCGACCUGAGAGGGUGAUCGGCCACACUGGAACUGAGACACGGUCCAGACUCCUACGGGAGGCAGCAAUAGGGAAUCUUCCGCAAUGGGCGAAAGCCUGACGGAGCAACGCCGCGUGAGUGAUGAAGGUCUUCGGAUCGUAAAACUCUGUUAUUAGGGAAGAACAUAUGUGUAAGUAACUGUGCACAUCUUGACGGUACCUAAUCAGAAAGCCACGGCUAACUACGUG